RNAcentral lists this ribosomal RNA (497 nucleotides) under uncultured bacterium. RNAcentral describes it as "partial 16S ribosomal RNA". It matches the Rfam family "Bacterial small subunit ribosomal RNA", at positions 28 to 507 of the family's 1533-position model. The record is from RNAcentral.
GAUGAACGCUGGCGGCGUGCCUAAUACAUGCAAGUCGAGCGAACGGACGAGAAGCUUGCUUCUCUGAUGUUAGCGGCGGACGGGUGAGUAACACGUGGAUAACCUACCUAUAAGACUGGGAUAACUUCGGGAAACCGGAGCUAAUACCGGAUAAUAUUUUGAACCGCAUGGUUCAAAAGUGAAAGACGGUCUUGCUGUCACUUAUAGAUGGAUCCGCGCUGCAUUAGCUAGUUGGUAAGGUAACGGCUUACCAAGGCAACGAUGCAUAGCCGACCUGAGAGGGUGAUCGGCCACACGGGAACUGAGACACGGUCCAGACUCCGACGGGAGGCAGCAGUAGGGAAUCUUCCGCAAGGGGCGAAAGCCGGACGGAGCAACGCCGCGUGAGUGAUGAAGGUCUUCGGAUCGUAAAACUCUGUUAUUAGGGAAGAACAUAUGUGUAAGUAACUGUGCACAUCUUGACGGUACCUAAUCAGAAAGCCACGGCUAACUACGUG